GCCCGGGUGGUGGAAUUGGUAGACACGCUAGUCUUAGGAACUAGUGCCGCAAGGCGUGCAGGUUCGAGUCCUGUUCCGGGUACCA
Molecule: transfer RNA, 85 nt
Filed under: marine sediment metagenome
Description: tRNA-Leu
Rfam family: tRNA
About the family: Transfer RNA (tRNA) molecules are approximately 80 nucleotides in length. Their secondary structure includes four short double-helical elements and three loops (D, anti-codon, and T loops). Further hydrogen bonds mediate the characteristic L-shaped molecular structure. tRNAs have two regions of fundamental functional importance: the anti-codon, which is responsible for specific mRNA codon recognition, and the 3' end, to which the tRNAs corresponding amino acid is attached (by aminoacyl-tRNA synthetases). tRNAs cope with the degeneracy of the genetic code in two manners: having more than one tRNA (with a specific anti-codon) for a particular amino acid; and 'wobble' base-pairing, i.e. permitting non-standard base-pairing at the 3rd anti-codon position.
Source: RNAcentral